RNAcentral lists this ribosomal RNA (253 nucleotides) under uncultured bacterium. Its description in RNAcentral is "partial 16S ribosomal RNA". It matches the Rfam family "Bacterial small subunit ribosomal RNA", at positions 524 to 776 of the family's 1533-position model. The record is from RNAcentral.
UACGGGGGGGGCAAGCGUUGUUCGGAAUUACUGGGCGUAAAGGGCUCGUAGGCGGCCAACUAAGUCAGACGUGAAAUCCCUCGGCUUAACCGGGGAACUGCAUCUGAUACUGGAUGGCUUGAGUUCGGGAGAGGGAUGCGGAAUUUCAGGUGUAGCGGUGAAAUGCGUAGAUAUCUGGAGGAACACCGGUGGCGAAGGCGGCAUCCUGGACCGACACUGACGCUGAGGAGCGAAAGCGUGGGGAGCGAACAGG